UGUAAGCGUAUACCAAAGUUGUUGCAGUUAAAACGCUCGUAGUCGGAAUUUGGCAGUUCCGGAUGUGUGCACGUCGUGUGCGCACUUCGCGGGGAUUGCUUUUGUGGUCUUGCGUAGGAUGAGGCACUUUUAUUAGUGAACGUCCUCACGCAACCACUUUUUACUGUGAGAAAAUCAGAGUGCUCAAAGCAGGCAUUUGCCGUGAAUGUAUUAGCAUGGAAUAAUAGAAUAGGACUUGGUUCUAUUUUGUUGGUUUGUUGGGACUGAGUAAUGAUUAAGAGGGACAGUUGGGGGCAUUGUAUUUCGGUGCUAGAGGUGAAAUUCUUAGAUUACCGAAAGACAAACUGCUGCGAAAGCGUCUGCCAAGGAUGUUUUCAUUGA
This 381-nucleotide ribosomal RNA is filed under the name uncultured eukaryote. RNAcentral describes it as "partial 18S ribosomal RNA". It matches the Rfam family "Eukaryotic small subunit ribosomal RNA", at positions 592 to 976 of the family's 1831-position model. The record is from RNAcentral.